UACGUAGGGGGCUAGCGUUGUCCGGAAUCAUUGGGCGUAAAGAGCGUGUAGGCGGCCCGGUAAGUCCGCUGUGAAAGUCGGGGGCUCAACCCUCGAAUGCCGGUGGAUACUGUCGGGCUAGAGUGCGGAAGAGGCGAGUGGAAUUCCUGGUGUAGCGGUGAAAUGCGCAGAUAUCAGGAGGAACACCAAGUGCGAAGGCAGCUCGCUGGGACGUAACUGACGCUGAGACGCGAAAGCGUGGGGAGCAAACAGG
This 253-nucleotide ribosomal RNA is filed under the name uncultured bacterium. RNAcentral's name for it is "partial 16S ribosomal RNA". It matches the Rfam family "Bacterial small subunit ribosomal RNA", at positions 524 to 776 of the family's 1533-position model. The record is from RNAcentral.